CCACUUGGGUGGGCGGCCGCUGGCGGUUCGAGAGGGCCGCGGGAGGAAAGUCCGAGCUCCAAAGGGCAGGCUGCUGGCUAACGGCCAGUCGACGUGAGUUGCAGGAAAGUGCAACAGAAAGCACACCGCCCCUCAGCCGACGCAUGAAGCUCUCUCGUUUGGGAGGCGCGUCGAGGACGGGGUAAGGGCGAACCGGUGCGGUCAGAGCGCACCGCGUGCGAGGUGACUCGCAUGGCACGGCAAACCCCAGCCGGAGCAAGGCCAAAUAGGGACUCCGCCUUGGAGACGAGGCAUCGGACGGCCCGUCCGUCGAGUCCGGGUAAGGCUGCUCGAGCGCCGUGGCAACGCGGCGCCUAGACGAAUGGUCGCCGUCGCGGGCAACCGCGAGACAGAACUCGGCUUACAGCCCAAGUGGCGGC
Molecule: RNase P RNA, 419 nt
Filed under: Deltaproteobacteria bacterium
Lineage: Bacteria; Pseudomonadati; Myxococcota; Myxococcia
Description: RNase P RNA component class A
Rfam family: Bacterial RNase P class A
About the family: Ribonuclease P (RNase P) is a ubiquitous endoribonuclease, found in archaea, bacteria and eukarya as well as chloroplasts and mitochondria. Its best characterised activity is the generation of mature 5'-ends of tRNAs by cleaving the 5'-leader elements of precursor-tRNAs.
Source: RNAcentral